Molecule: long non-coding RNA, 328 nt
Organism: Bubalus bubalis (water buffalo)
Lineage: Eukaryota; Metazoa; Chordata; Mammalia; Artiodactyla; Bovidae
Exons: 3
Source: RefSeq, a predicted model, not a curated record
GUUCUGAGCUCCUGUGAAGUACAUAUGUGUUUAGAGAGCUGUGUCUCCAAAGGGCGUGGAUGACUCACUGAUUCUCAAAUGAUGCUCUGCUAGAAGAGUGUCAGAUGCCUGCAGGGGAGGCUGGUGGAAGAAGCACGUGCAUUUUCACUGCAGGAUCCUGGAAAUGCUCAGGAAUUCCAUUCCUAGGAAUGUACCAAGAGAAACCUGCACAUGGACGGCAGAAGACAUGUACAAGGAUGUUUAGAAGCAGCACUAUUUACAAGAGCAAAACCUUUGGAACAACCUUUGAAACAAGCCAAUGCCUUUCAUCAGAAGAGUGGCUCCAUGA